GGGGGUGUGGCGGAAUGGUAGACGCUACGGACUUAGAUAACUGAGCCUUGCUAGAGAAAUCUUUCAAGUGUAAGCUCUCAAACUCAGGGAAACCUAAAUCUGAUUACAGACAUGGCAAUCCUGAGCCAAGCCCAAAAAUUGAAGAUUUAAGAUUGUGUUGACAAUCGAAAAUCCCAAAUUAUGGGAAGGUGCAGAGACCCGACGGGAGCUACCCUAACGUUAAGUCGAGGGUAAAGGGAGAGUCCAAUUCUUAAAGCCGAUAGUAAUUAAAGCUAUCAGGCAGCAGCGAAAGUUGCGGAAGAAUGAAAAUCCGUUGACCUUAAACGGUCGUGGGGGUUCAAGUCCCCCCACCCCCA
This 356-nucleotide transfer RNA is filed under the name Calothrix sp. PCC 7507. RNAcentral's name for it is "tRNA-Und (NNN) (tRNA-Und-NNN-4-1)". The stretch from base 25 to 272 matches the Rfam family "Group I catalytic intron". Rfam says of the family: Group I catalytic introns are large self-splicing ribozymes. The record is from RNAcentral. Lineage: Bacteria; Bacillati; Cyanobacteriota; Cyanophyceae; Nostocales; Calotrichaceae.